This 440-nucleotide ribosomal RNA is filed under the name uncultured bacterium. RNAcentral describes it as "partial 16S ribosomal RNA". It matches the Rfam family "Bacterial small subunit ribosomal RNA", at positions 338 to 795 of the family's 1533-position model. The record is from RNAcentral.
CCUACGUGAGGCAGCAGUGGGGGAUAUUGCACAAUGGGGGGAACCCUGAUGCAGCGACGCCGCGUGGGUGAAGAAGCGCCUCGGCGCGUAAAGCCCUGUCAGCAGGGAAGAAAAUGACGGUACCUGAAGAAGAAGCCCCGGCUAACUACGUGCCAGCAGCCGCGGUAAUACGUAGGGGGCAAGCGUUAUACGGACUUACUGGGUGUAAAGGGGGCGCCGACGGCGGGGCAAGCCAGGAGUGAAAGCCCGGGGCCCAAACCCGGGACGUCUCGUGGAACUGCGUUGCUGGCGUGCAGGAGGGGCAGGCGGAAUUCCUGGUGUAGCGGUGCAAUGCGUAUAUAUCAGGCGGAACACCGGGUGCGAAGGCAGCCUGCUGGACUGCAACUGAGGUUGAGGCCCGAAAGCGUGGGUAACAAACAGGAUUAGAUACCCGAGUAGUC